CCUANGGGGGGCUGCAGCUACGAAAACUGCCCAAUGUGGGAAACCACGAGGCGGGCAUACCGAGUGCUAACGCAUUGCGUUUGCUGUUCUUUCGCCUAAAAAGCGAGAGAAGUAAGGGCCGGGUAAGACGGGUGCCAGCCGCCGCGGUAAUACCCGCGGCCCGAGUGGUGCUCAUUAUUAUUGAGCUUAAAGCGUCCGUAGCCGGCUUCGUAAAUCCUUGGGUAAAUCGGGCAGCUUAACUGUUCGAAUUCCGAGGAGACUGCGAGGCUCGGGACCGGGAGAGGUCAGAGGUACUCUCGGGGUAGGGGUAAAAUCCUGUAAUCCUGAGAGGACCACCAGUGGCGAAGGCGUCUGACUAGAACGGAUCCGACGGUGAGGGACGAAGCCCUGGGGCGCAAACGGGAUUAGAUACCCUANUANUC
RNAcentral lists this ribosomal RNA (422 nucleotides) under uncultured bacterium. RNAcentral describes it as "bacterial SSU rRNA". It matches the Rfam family "Archaeal small subunit ribosomal RNA", at positions 322 to 746 of the family's 1478-position model. The record is from RNAcentral.